CUCAGUCACUCAGAUAAGGGCCAGUCUCUGGACUGGAGUGAGAACAAGAGAAAUUUCAAUCAGAAGAAGAAUUUCUGUCAUGCUCUUCCCUGGCCUACUGUGGGCAUUCAUAGCCUCCUUUGGCUUCAGAUCCAGCAUGGCUGAGAAAGUCAUCCAGACUCAGAAAACAGUAACAAUGCAAGAAGGACUAGCGGUCACCAUUUACUGCAAGUAUGAAACCAGUUGGAGGAAUUCUUAUACUUUGUAUUGGUACAAACGACCUCCCAGCAGAGAGAUGGUUUUCCUCAUUGACCAGGAUGUAAACAAGCCCAAUGCAAAGCAGGGUCGCUUCUCUGUGAACUUUCAAAAGGCAGCAAAAUCCAUCAGUCUCACCAUCUCUCGCUUAAAACUGACAGACUCGGCAGUGUAUUUCUGUG
Non-coding RNA from Callorhinus ursinus (northern fur seal), 416 nucleotides. The record is from RefSeq and is a predicted model, not a curated record. Lineage: Eukaryota; Metazoa; Chordata; Mammalia; Carnivora; Otariidae.